RNAcentral lists this ribosomal RNA (423 nucleotides) under uncultured bacterium. RNAcentral describes it as "bacterial SSU rRNA". It matches the Rfam family "Bacterial small subunit ribosomal RNA", at positions 207 to 622 of the family's 1533-position model. The record is from RNAcentral.
AAGACCUUGCACUUUUGGAGCGGCCGAUGUCUGAUUAGCUAGUUGGUGGGGUAAUGGCCUACCAAAGCUUCGAUCAGUAGCUGGUCUGAGAGGACGGCCAGCCACACUGGGACUGAGACACGGCCCAGACUCCUACGGGAGGCAGCAGUGGGGAAUUUUGGACAAUGGGCGCAAGCCUGAUCCAGCCAUGCCGCGUGAGUGAAGAAGGCCUUCGGGUUGUAAAGCUCUUUCAGCCGGGAAGAAAAGGUUGCGACUAAUAAUCGCAAUUCAUGACGGUACCGAAAGAAGAAGCACCGGCUAACUACGUGCCAGCAGCCGCGGUAGUACGUAGGGUGCGAGCGUUAAUCGGAAUUACUGGGCGUAAAGGGUGCGCAGGCGGUUUUGUAAGUCAGAUGUGAAAUCCCCGGGCUUAACCUGGGAACU